RNAcentral lists this ribosomal RNA (465 nucleotides) under Vreelandella stevensii. Its description in RNAcentral is "partial 16S ribosomal RNA". It matches the Rfam family "Bacterial small subunit ribosomal RNA", at positions 338 to 795 of the family's 1533-position model. Lineage: Bacteria; Pseudomonadati; Pseudomonadota; Gammaproteobacteria; Oceanospirillales; Halomonadaceae. The record is from RNAcentral.
CCUACGGGCGGCAGCAGUGGGGAAUAUUGGACAAUGGGCGAAAGCCUGAUCCAGCCAUGCCGCGUGUGUGAAGAAGGCCUUCGGGUUGUAAAGCACUUUCAGUGGGGAAGAAAGCCUUGGGGCUAAUACCCUCGAGGAAGGACAUCACCCACAGAAGAAGCACCGGCUAACUCCGGGCCAGCAGCCGCGGUAAUACGGAGGGUGCGGGCGUUAAUCGGAAUUACUGGGCGUAAAGCGCGCGUAGGCGGUCUGAUAAGCCGGUUGUGAAAGCCCCGGGCUCAACCUGGGAACGGCAUCCGGAACUGUCAGGCUAGAGUGCAGGAGAGGAAGGUAGAAUUCCCGGUGUAGCGGUGAAAUGCGUAGAGAUCGGGAGGAAUACCAGUGGCGAAGGCGGCCUUCUGGACUGACACUGACGCUGAGGUGCGAAAGCGUGGGUAGCAAACAGGAUUAGAUACCCUGGUAGUC